AUCCAAGGAUGGCAGCAGGCGCGCAAAUUACCCAAUCCCGACACGGGGAGGUAGUGACAAUAAAUAACAAUACGGGGUUCUUUAGGAUCUCGUAAUUGGAAUGAGUACAAUUUAAAUCUCUUAACGAGGAACAAUUGGAGGGCAAGUCUGGUGCCAGCAGCCGCGGUAAUUCCAGCUCCAAUAGCGUAUAUUAAAGUUGUUGCAGUUAAAAAGCUCGUAGUUGAAUUUCGGGGUUAGUAGGUUGGUCAUGCCUCUGGUAUGUACUGGUCUCANNGAUUCCUCCUUCCUUAUGAACCGUAAUGCCAUUAAUUUGGUGUUGCGGGGAAUUUGGACUGUUACUUUGAAAAAAUUAGAGUGUUUAAAGCAAGCUAACGCUUGAAUACAUUAGCAUGGAAUAAUGAAAUAGGACGUUCGAUCUUAUUUUGUUGGUUUCUAGGAUUGACGUAAUGAUUAAUAGGGAUAGUUGGGGGCAUUAGUAUUCAAUUGUCAGAGGUGAAAUUCUUGGAUUUAUUGAAGACUAACUACUGCGAAAGCAUUUGCCAAGGAUGUUUUCAUUAAUCAAGAACGAAAGUUAGGGGAUCGAAGACGAUCAGAUACCGUCGUAGUAACCAUAAACUAUGCCGACUAGGG
This 630-nucleotide ribosomal RNA is filed under the name uncultured fungus. RNAcentral's name for it is "SSU rRNA". It matches the Rfam family "Eukaryotic small subunit ribosomal RNA", at positions 414 to 1051 of the family's 1831-position model. The record is from RNAcentral. Lineage: Eukaryota; Fungi.